UACAGAGGGUGCGAGCGUUAUUCGGAAUUACUGGGCGUAAAGCGCACGUAGGCGGCGACGUAAGUCGGGUGUGAAAGCCCCGGGCUCAACCUGGGAAUUGCAUUCGAGACUGCAUUGCUGGAGUACGGAAGAGGAGGGCGGAAUUCCCGGUGUAGCGGUGAAAUGCGUAGAUAUCGGGAGGAACAUCAGUGGCGAAGGCGGCCCUCUGGUCCAGUACUGACACUCAAGUGCGAAAGCGUGGGGAGCAAACAGG
Molecule: ribosomal RNA, 253 nt
Filed under: uncultured bacterium
Lineage: Bacteria
Description: partial 16S ribosomal RNA
Rfam family: Bacterial small subunit ribosomal RNA
Source: RNAcentral